RNAcentral lists this ribosomal RNA (256 nucleotides) under uncultured bacterium. RNAcentral describes it as "partial 16S ribosomal RNA". It matches the Rfam family "Bacterial small subunit ribosomal RNA", at positions 84 to 339 of the family's 1533-position model. The record is from RNAcentral.
CUCUGAUGAGACUGGCGCACGGGUGAGUAACACGUAUGUAAUCUGCCUUCAGGAGGGGGAUAACUUCGGGAAACCGGAGCUAAUACCGCAUAAUGCAGCGGGGCCGCAUGGCCACAGUUGUUAAAGAUUUAUUGCCUGGAGAUGAACAUGCGUCGCAUUAGCUAGUUGGCGGGGUAACGGCCCACCAAGGCAACGACGGGUAGCCGGCCUGAGAGGGCGACCGGCCACACUGGGACUGAGACACGGCCCAGACUCC